Molecule: ribosomal RNA, 322 nt
Filed under: uncultured eukaryote
Lineage: Eukaryota
Description: partial 18S ribosomal RNA
Rfam family: Eukaryotic small subunit ribosomal RNA
Source: RNAcentral
CCCUUAGAUGUUCUGGGCCGCACGCGUGCUACACUGAGUGGAUCAGCGGGUCAGGUUGCGCGAAAGUGUUUCCUAAUCUUUAAAUCCGCUCGUGAUGGGGAUUGACGGUUGCAAUUUUCCGUCAUGAACGAGGAAUACCUUGUAAGCGCGGGUCAUCAUCCCGCGCUGAAUACGUCCCUGCCCGUUGUACACACCGCCCGUCGCUCCUACCGAUUGAGUGGUCCGGUGAGGCUUUGGGAUCUGAGCGGAAAGAGCGUUUCGCUGUUUCUGCCCGGAAAACUCAGUCGAACCUUAUCAUUUAGAGGAAGGAGAAGUCGUAACA